RNAcentral lists this ribosomal RNA (429 nucleotides) under uncultured bacterium. RNAcentral's name for it is "bacterial SSU rRNA". It matches the Rfam family "Bacterial small subunit ribosomal RNA", at positions 917 to 1349 of the family's 1533-position model. The record is from RNAcentral.
GGGCCCGCACAAGCGGUGGAGUAUGUGGUUUAAUUCGAUGCAACGCGAAGAACCUUACCAGGGCUUAAAUGUAGUCUGACAGCUUUAGAGAUAAAGUUUUCUUCGGACAGAUUACAAGGUGCUGCAUGGUUGUCGUCAGCUCGUGCCGUGAGGUGUCAGGUUAAGUCCUAUAACGAGCGCAACCCCUGUUGUUAGUUGCCAGCGAGUAAUGUCGGGAACUCUAACAAGACUGCCGGUGCAAACCGUGAGGAAGGUGGGGAUGACGUCAAAUCAUCACGGCCCUUACGUCCUGGGCCACACACGUGCUACAAUGGCCGGUACAGAGAGCAGCCACUACGCGAGUAGGAGCGAAUCUUCAAAACCGGUCUCAGUUCGGAUCGGAGUCUGCAACUCGACUCCGUGAAGGAGGAAUCGCUAGUAAUCGCAGGU